UACCACUGAUGCUAUAAGACAUUGAUGAAAUAAAUUUUAAAAGACACAGAUAAAUUGAAAGUAUUCCAUAUUCGUGUAUUAGAAAAAUUAAUAUUGUUAAAAUGUCCAUAUUCCUCAAAAUGAUCUACAGAAUUGAUGCAAUGCAUAUCAAAAUUUCAAUGGCAUUUUUCACAUAAAUAGAAAAAAAUUCUAAAAUUGAUAUGAAACCACUAAAUAUCUUGAAUAAUCAAAGCAAUAUCAAGAAAGAACAAAGCUUAAGGCAUUGCUUCCUGGUUUCAAACUAUAUUGCAAAACUGUAGAAAUCAAAACCUAUGGUACUGGUAUAAAAACCAGUUCAUCUUAGUCUGUCUUCUCCCUUUAAUGAUGGGUGAGUUAUCACAGCUGUGGAAAUCAUAUCCUGUUCUUACAGUUGGAAAGCCCAUUUGUGAAAGAUAAGACAUUUGUAAUUGCAAAUAAGAAAGAUCCUUAUAUAAUUUGGAUUAAAAACGUAAUGAUGUUUAUUUGAAUAUAUGAACACCAAGAAUUUAGGAGUCAGUAGUCUUUGUAUACAUUUCAGUCAGAGCUCAAGUGCCAUUUCUCUAGGAUUUCCUUUUCUGUGCUUUUUCCUUUGUAUGUUUUUUUCCCCCUCUAUACAGGUUUCCUUUUAUAACUCAACAUAGUUGCUAUCAGCAACUGCGGUACCAAUUCUUUAUCAGUUCUAGAAGGGGAAACAUAGGAUACUUUCUAAAUGUAUUUUUUAAAAAUCCUAAGUAUCUCUCUUUUUGGACAAAACAGAAAAUUUCCAAGGCCAGGGCCAGGGGCUAGUUACUAAAGCAAAAAUUAUUGCACAUCAUUGAAUCAUUAAUACAGGAAAGAGGAUACACUACGCUUGUUGAAUUUUACAAGUUAUAAACAGCUCAGGAUUUGGGGUGUGAUUAUUAUCAAAUGCCCUGUCAGGAGGAUAAAGGGGUUGGAUUUUCACAGAGGAACACACCUGGAUACUAUGUAAAUAAAGCAUAAAUGAAGCAAUGAAGCCAGAUAUGUACCCAGAGAAUAUCACUGUGCACACAUCCAGGCAGAUAACUGGAAUUGGGAAAGACUUGACAUCAUAAUCCAUUAAGAUUAAGAAGCAUAAAAACUGUACAAGUCUUCUUUGUUACUUAGUAUUUCCCAAACACCACAUUACUGCCAUAAGAUAAUCCAACUAUAAAGAUGUACAGAAAGUGAAGACAUCCCAAAUUUGGCAGUCCUUAAAUUAGAAAUCAACCACUUUCUUAUUGUCAGUUUACUGUUGACACCUGACAGCUAAGAAGUAUCACUCUUUCAAUUUUCCUUAUGUCUUUGGUUGUUCCUUUUCAGUUACUUUUUUGACAAUUUACAUUGUGCAGGGUCUGCUACAGUUUUCUUUUGUUUAAAUGGUAGUAUAAAAAAGCCAUGGUCAUUUCAACACUCUCUCUGAAAGUAACCAGCCUCAUUGAUACCAAAAGUUUAGGUAACAUGAUUUUUAAGCCUAAGGCUGGUGAUAUUUCAUAUUUUAGACAAGCUGAUGGGUCAUCUGAUGAAGGUAAAAUCAAAGUCCUCCCCCUCCUCAGAGAAAAAAGGAAUUAAGUGAAUGCCAGAAAAAUUGUAAAUGUUGCUUAUUAAAUAUUUUGUAAACUCUUCUUUCUAAAUACAGGUUCCUAGUGAACAUUACUGCUCUCUCAAGGAUCUGUUCAACAUUAUGAUAAUUAAUUUACCUAAAACUCCAGUAAGACCACUUGGCAACCAUAUUCUAGGUCUACAAACCAAGUGACUGCUUAGUAACUCCUUAACAAUUUAGGGACUUUAUAAUUAGUUCUUUCCUGACAGACAUUUUCCCAGAAACAAGUGCUUACAUUUUCUCUCUCUCUCUCUCUCUCUCUCUCUCGCUCUCUCUUUCUCUCUCUCUCUCAAUCUCUCAAGAAACACCAUUGCAAACAAUCAUUAUAAAAUGGAAAUUAAAGAUGUAGGCAUCUAACACACAGGAUAUAUUUAAUAAAUUGUGAUACAUUUAUUGAACUGAAUAUGGUUGAACUAUUAUAAAUGACACUGUAGACAUUUUUUAUAUUUGUUAAAUUACAAAAGGCAGAUAUGGGGGAAGAAGAGGUGGAGACAAUAAAUGAACUCCUUUUACAUCCUCUUAUACAAUUUCCUGCUGGAAUGGUUUUGCCAGGGUAGAUGAGAAAGAUCUUUUAUUAACAGCACCUGAUGUGGGGAGGAGCAGAAAUCAGAGCCAAGCAAGUGAGCAGAGCAACCCCAGGACACUGAGAAGAGAUGCAGAUUUCUGACUUUCUCCUUAAGCAAGAGACUCACUGCUGCUCAGCAUGGCUCAGACCAAUACAUUCUUCAUGCUGAUCUCCUGCCUGAUGUUCCUGUCUCUGAGCCAAGGAUAGGAUGGCCAGACAGAGUUGCCCAAGUCCCGGGUCAGCUGCCCAGAAGGCAACAAUGCCUAUGGCUCCUACUGCUACUACUUUAAUGAAGACCUUGAGACCUGGGUUGAUGCAGAUGUGGCUCUACUGCCAGAAUACGAAUUCGGGUAACCUGGUGUCUGCGCUCACUGAGGCUGAGGGUGCCUUCGUGGCUUCGCUGAUUAAAGAGGGUGGCACCAAGGAUUGCAAUGUCUGGAUUGGCUUCCAUGACUCCCACUGGGCCAGUCUGCUGCAUCUUCUACCUCCUUAUUAUCAGGUUUCAGAGGGAAGAAGGAGGUGUGAUGUCUGGCACCGCAAACACCAGUUUUUACCAUACUAUGAUAAAAGCAACCUCUCUAUAAAUCCUAUAAUGUACAGGAUAUUAAGUUUCUCUAUAGGUCCUUAGAGAUAAGCUUAAAACUGAAUAUCCUCUGUGUUUCAGACAUUCACAGUAAACUCAUUUUGUCUACUUCUAGGGUAGCAUCUUAUAUAUCUGUUAUGCACCUCUUAUCUAUUGUGUUAUCAUCUUGUAAACCAUAUAGAGAAAGGUAAUAGAGGAGGAGAAUGUGCUGCUUGUAUUUGGGAAACUCAAGGUAUACUAAAUAAUAUAUCAACAACUAAUGGCCAUCCAAUGCUAUGCUGGAUAUGAACUUUCGGGGCCUCAGGAAAGAAAAAUCAGGAACCAGUUUCAAUAAUGAUGUUUUAUGGUUCUCUGUGUCAUAUUUAGAACACUUACUGUUUGGCAGGACACAGAGAGGUAGGUGAAGAUUCCAGGAAAGGAGAAGCUUAGAGAAAAUGUGGAGGAAAUGUGUGACACUCAGAGAUAAAGCAAGGUUUAUCCUUGCCUUAUGUCUUGACCGGUUUCUGAAUCAAGAAACACAAGUCAAACACAAAUCAGGUGUUUCUUUCUCUUUCUGAGUCUCGUCCGCCCCUGCUCUGGCCCUUCUCCAUCUAGAACCACCACUGGCACUGGAGCAGUGGGUCCCUGGUCUCCUACAAAUCCUGGGACACUGGAGCCCCAAGCUGUGCCAGUAUUGCCUGUUGUGCAAGCCUGACUUCAAGCUCAGGUGAGAGGUACAGCAACCUCACACUUACUGCCAUCCUAUCCUAUUUGUCUCAGGAUUGACCUGGGGACUGCAAUAGAGGAAAGGUGAGCUCCGCAUUCAGGAAAUAGAGGAGCGUUUCCUCUUGACUUUUCCUGAGUUCUGCAGCCUAGAGGGUAACACAUUCUGAUCCCCUCAGUUUGAAUCUUCUCAUUGGCUUAUAGGAUUCAAUAAAUGGAAGAAUGAUUCUUGUAAGGAGACGUUCUCCUUUGUUUGCAAGUUCAAAAACUAGAGGUGGCUGCAAAGUGGAUGUCUAGAGUAUGUCUACUAAUUACUAUGGAGUAAAAGAAUUAAACUGGACCAUCUCAUCUCUCUCCAAAUCAAUCCAGACCAUCUCUUCUCUUCUGAAUUUGCAUCACUGACCUGUAGUAUCUUACCUACCCCAGUUGCGGGGGUCCUAAAGAAUAAAAAUAAACAUGUU
This is a non-coding RNA of Callithrix jacchus (white-tufted-ear marmoset), 3929 nucleotides long. The record is from RefSeq and is a predicted model, not a curated record. NCBI's taxonomy places the organism in Eukaryota, Metazoa, Chordata, Mammalia, Primates, Cebidae.